AAGAUUUAAAACGCUUCGUUCGACACCUCUCUCCCUUCGCAUCUCUCUCUCUAAUCCAAACUACAGAGGCCCGAGUACAAAAGCACGAGCUCCCUCCAAGAAAUCUAAAUUCCUGUUCUCCUGCGUCCGCUGUACUCUCUCUCUCUCUCUCUCUCUCUCUCUCUCUCUCCAUAUACGCGCACUCAUACAUAUAUAUACACACAUCGCUAUUUCUCUCUCUAAAAUUCUUCACCCUGGCGAUCCCUUUUCGCUAUUCCCUCAUGUUUACUCCACCGUAAAGGCUCGAAUUUCAUCACCAAGAGACGCUCAAACACAGG
Molecule: long non-coding RNA, 317 nt
Filed under: Actinidia chinensis (golden kiwifruit)
Lineage: Eukaryota; Viridiplantae; Streptophyta; Magnoliopsida; Ericales; Actinidiaceae
Description: long non-coding RNA (ACHI_LNC003801)
Source: RNAcentral